UACGUAGGGUGCAAGCGUUAAUCGGAAUUACUGGGCGUAAAGCGUGCGCAGGCGGUGAUGUAAGACAGAUGUGAAAUCCCCGGGCUCAACCUGGGAACUGCAUUUGUGACUGCAUCGCUGGAGUGCGGCAGAGGGGGAUGGAAUUCCGCGUGUAGCAGUGAAAUGCGUAGAUAUGCGGAGGAACACCGAUGGCGAAGGCAAUACCCUGGGCCUGCACUGACGCUCAUGCACGAAAGCGUGGGGAGCAAACAGG
Molecule: ribosomal RNA, 253 nt
Filed under: uncultured bacterium
Lineage: Bacteria
Description: partial 16S ribosomal RNA
Rfam family: Bacterial small subunit ribosomal RNA
Source: RNAcentral